Molecule: ribosomal RNA, 206 nt
Filed under: uncultured bacterium
Lineage: Bacteria
Description: partial 16S ribosomal RNA
Rfam family: Bacterial small subunit ribosomal RNA
Source: RNAcentral
CGCGUAGGCGGUCCGCUAAGUUCGGUGUGAAAUCCCCCGGCUCACCUGGGAACGGCGCCGGAAACUGACGGACUGGAGUACCGGAGAGGAGGGUGGAAUUCCUGGUGUAGCGGUGAAAUGCGUAGAUAUCAGGAGGAACACCGGUGGCGAAGGCGGCCCUCUGGACGGAUACUGACGCUGAGGCGCGAAAGCGUGGGGAUCAAACA